Schizosaccharomyces pombe (fission yeast) is the source of this 1136-nucleotide non-coding RNA. Lineage: Eukaryota; Fungi; Ascomycota; Schizosaccharomycetes; Schizosaccharomycetales; Schizosaccharomycetaceae. The record is from the annotation of a GenBank genome assembly.
CUUCAUAAUCAAAAAAAGAGCUAUGAAUAAACAGUAUCGUAAAAAUAAUUAAAAGGAAGAACAAAUAAUUUUUCCAAUUAAAACUAGUUAGAGGUGAUGGAGAAAGGAGAGGCUAAAACGUUAAAAGAGAAAUUGGGCUCAAAACAGACGUGCUUGAAGCAACAUAAAUACAAAAAGGAGAUUGACAGUGACAACAAAUCUCCCGUUCUAUGAAAAAGGGGAUUAAAAAAUGAAGAAGAUGUUGAUUAAAAAUGCACGUUCAAUUUCAAAAGUCGAAGCCUGAUAUAGAAAAGCUGGAUGACUAUUCGCCAUCAAUUUCAUCUAGCAAGUGUUUGAAUUUGUGAAUAUCACGAAUAACAUGCGAUCCUGCUUGAGGUUGGGGAAGUGGAUCACCAUGUUCUACUAAUUGAACAGUGUAUUUCCAACCAAACUCCCGAGCACCCAAAAUGUUACCAUAUGAGUCAUCGACAAAUAUACAUUUAUCCUUGUCAGUAACGCCUGCUUCUCUCAUUACACGCUCAUACAUUUCAGGCAUGGGUUUAGCGAUCAAAUCCUUGGCAUUGUAGUCGCAGUACGUUAUACCGUCAAAGCAAUCCUCAAUACCAAGAUAUUUAAGGACACGAUUAGCAUGAACGAUAUAUGCAUUCGUAAAAAUCCAGCACUUGUACUUUUUACGAAGUUCUAAAAGCAUCUCACGCAAAACUUCGUCUUUCUUUAUAACCUUCUCUAAGGGAAGAGACUGAUCGACACGCUGAUCAUAAUCCACAGCAUCAAUUUCAUGAUGGAGAACAAGACCACGAAUUGCUAUACCGUAAUGCCGAUAGUAAACUUCACGAAGGCGUUCUGCCUCCUCUGUAGGUAUGCCAAGCUUAUCAGAGAAAAAUGCAGUAAUACGAGCAGCCAUCAUGUUAUGGAUUUUGUAAGAUUUAGGAUACAAACAGUUAUCCAAAUCGAAAAAAAUAAUCUUCUGCUCAACAGUCAUAAUGGUUGUUAAAAAAAAGAACGGUCAGAUGGAGUAAAAAAUUUGAAUAGAGAAAAAAAGAGAAACGUCAACAAAGAGAGGUGUAUAUCUAAUAGCGUAGGAGAACAAACGAUCAAUGGACGCACACAAAAACAAAUAGCAGAAGGAGUAUUAA